GUGUUGUAUGAAAGGAGAGAAGGUUAGCACUCCCCUUGACAAGGAGGGAAGGGGCCCUCAGGCCUGACAACAUGCAUAAGGCACUGUCACCUUCUUAGAGGCAUCUAAACAGCAGUUGAA
This 120-nucleotide non-coding RNA is filed under the name Chinchilla lanigera (long-tailed chinchilla). Lineage: Eukaryota; Metazoa; Chordata; Mammalia; Rodentia; Chinchillidae. The record is from RNAcentral.